Molecule: ribosomal RNA, 500 nt
Filed under: uncultured Glomeromycotina
Lineage: Eukaryota; Fungi; Glomeromycota
Description: partial small subunit ribosomal RNA
Rfam family: Eukaryotic small subunit ribosomal RNA
Source: RNAcentral
CCAAUAGCGUAUAUUAAAGUUGUUGCAGUUAAAAAGCUCGUAGUUGAAUUUCGGGGUUAGUAGGUUGGUCAUGCCUCCGGUAUGCACUGGUCUCACUGAUUCCUCCUUCCUGAUGAGCCGUAAUGCCAUUAAUUUGGUGUUGCGGGGAAUCUGGACUGUUACUUUGAAAAAAUUAGAGUGUUUAAAGCAAGCUAACGCUUGAAUACAUUAGCAUGGAAUAAUGGAAUAGGACGUUCGAUCCUAUUUUGUUGGUUUCUAGGAUUGACGUAAUGAUUAAUAGGGAUAGUUGGGGGCAUUAGUAUUCAAUUGUCAGAGGUGAAAUUCUUGGAUUUAUUGAAGACUAACUACUGCGAAAGCAUUUGCCAAGGAUGUUUUCAUUAAUCAAGAACGAAAGUUAGGGGAUCGAAGACGAUCAGAUACCGUCGUAGUCUUAACCAUAAACUAUGCCGACUAGGGAUCGGAUGAUGUUAAUUUUUUAAUGACUCGUUCGGCGCCUUACG